GGGGAGGAGACAGUGGGAAAGAUUUGUUCUGCAUUUAAGCCUGAAUUAGCAGGUUUGUUUUGUUUACUGUUAUUUAAAAGUUACUUUAUUAAAAAAUGUAUUUUUAUUAAUGCUUGUUGGUGUACUGUGAUGCUGUUAAACACAGUAACAAACAAAGAAAAAGUGGUGCUCUGCGUUGUAAACUUAACCAGGAGUUGAGGUCUGGUUUCUGUGUCUGCUUUCUGACCAAGGAGAUGAGCUGUACUCGUUGCUUUGGCUGGCAUGCUUUGCUUCAUUAUCUGUACAGGACAGGACAGAGAAUCUUCCCUUUUCCAGUCAUACGUGACGUAAGAGCCCAGCAGAAUGACCCUACUGGUGGCAUCCAUCCCGGUUCUUGGCUGAGCAUGGAGUUUCUUAUGGUUCAGAGCUUAGUGUUACAAGGGAAUAAAAUACUUCUCACUAAAUAAUAGUGAAAACACAGAAGGAGGCAUUUAGUUCAGGGCAUACAAGCUAUUGUCCUCCCCUUGCCCAGAAAGCAACAUAUAUUAAAUAGAAGAUGUCUUCCUUGCACUCUAGCUAGAUCAGUGUUAUUUCUUCCAAAAUACUGCUGCUUCUAAUCCUAGAGAUAAAAACAUAGCUCAGCGUCAGUAGAUAACUCCUCCUCUUGGGCUUUUCUGUCCUCGUCCAAUAGUUCUUAGCUUUGUUAGGAGAGGAAGGCUUUCGUUAUCCCCAGAAGCUUAAAUUGCUUUGCUGGCAAAUCUGGUUCAUUGAAGAACCCGAGGAUGAAGAGCAGAUAGGGAAGGAACAGCAAAUAAUUUCAGAUUACCUUCAUAGCCUCCUGUUGUUAGGAUGUCAGUGUCAUACAUCACCUAUAUGGCAAACAUGUCUUACACUGAGAUAUUUCUUUUUUUAUUUAACUGUUAGGAAAUGUAUUAAUUUUGCAUAGGAUUUUUUUUAAUUGUUGGACUCAUCUUUGAAAUAUAGCCAGGAUGUUGAGAGGUUGAAUUCUCAGCAUCCACUUGAGAAGGAUGAGUAUUAAAGGAUCACACUUUUUUUUUUAUCCAGUUCUGUAGAAAAUAGUGCCCUUUUCCACUUUUUAAUAUGGCACUGCUGUGCUUUGAAUGCUGUUACCUCACACCAGAGAGCUGCUAAGAAUGCUAGAUUAAGCAGUACUCUCCGUAACUGUGGGCUCUGAUUUAACACUGUUCACACUCCUUUUGAUGAGCGUGGAGUGGAUUCAGUUACUGUAAACAUGGGUUUUCCAAGAUGGUCUAUAGGAGUAGAAAGAAGGUUAAUGAACCAGUUGUGGAGGGGAAGGGGCGGGGGGGGUGGGGUGAGAAAGCUUCUCUAAUUGACAAAAGGUCUGUAGGGAGUCAGCUAGACUGCACGCAGUUGAGGCAAGCAGGCUGUGGUCUGUGAUCUUGGAUGGUGGUUAGUUACUGAUGACUGUAUUAGGCAUUCUGAUGUCUGAAAGACAGCUGCAGUGUGCUUAGCUCUUAGCAGAGGGUUUUUUUUUUCCUUCUGCAGCAGUCAGACUUUCAGGGUACCAGGAACGAAGGGAAGCACUUAUUCACAAACUGUGUCAGCUUGCAAACUUUCUGUACAGUUCUUCCCUUUUCUCCACGAUGUGGGAACAAGAAGUGACUGAUGUCCCUUGGAGUUCGGGUGCUUGCCCCAGCUCCGGAGGACGGCACAGAUCCAUCACUACACCCUGGCAGUGCUGUUUUGACCUUAGGGCAACUCCUGUGCCAGAGGCUCUGCUGCUGAGCUCCUGGACUGGCUGCGGCCGGAGCACGUUUUGUCAGAAGGGUCCCACGUUCUCAGUGGGAACAGAAGACGGAGGGUGGAUAAUGAGCAGAGCUGGAAGGUGAGAGUUGUUCUGUAGUUCAGCUCUCCCUUGGCCAAAUUCCUGCUCCUUCUUGAUGUGCCUGGUUCUUAUGUAGAGUCAGUCCUCAAUUUCCUUUCAAUUAGAGCUCCAUCCUACUUUUCUGUCCCUUGCAGUUUGUGGAGUUUUAUCGUCUCUCAAUUCUAUUUCAGCUGCGUUUUUUUUCCCUUUGCUUUCAUGACUCAGGACUUUUUUCCUCUUUUCCUCAUGCUAUGUCAUUUCUUCUGGCUGGAGCAGUGUCCUCCUUUUCUGAAAGGAAACAUCAGUCCUGCAGGAGGAUUAAAGGAGAGUUUUAAAUAAAUUCCCAGGGAGUCUCAACCCUUUGCAAAAACUGGAAGAAAGUGGCAGUGAGUUUCAAUUAUUUGAGCUUUAUUUCUGCACAGUAUAAUGUAAUUCAUAAUGUUAUCAAUAUCUGUAAAAGCAGAAGAGGCAGCUGCAGGAGUUACGAGAAAAAACCAACUUAAUGAAAUCAAAAGCACAAUUUAACUUCAAAACACGUAGAAGGGGAGGAAGGGCCGGAGUGAGCAACACGAAUCAGAAUCACAAAUCAGAGCUAUUCUGGGAGAAAACAACUUUGGAAAGACUCAAAAGUGAAGCCAGAAGAUGGAGGAGGUCCCCCAAAGCAGCAAAAGGGAAGCUCGUCGAAGCCAGUUCUGGGUGGGUUGGGAGCUGAAGAGGUAGGGAAUGUUAAGGAAUUCUGAUUUAUAUUGUGUGAAGAAAGGGGAAAAAAAAUAAUCACAAACUUUCCUCUGGGUAAAGGGGAUCAGAGGAGCACAGUCAGUUGGACUAUAUUAAGGAGACAGUGUUUAAAAAAUAAACAAACAGCCCUGCGGCUUUCUCAUCAAACCUCCUCUGCCUUCAGAUAACAGAAGUCCAAACUAUAAAUCUUAAAAAAAUCUCCUUCGGUCAAAAUGUGGACAAAAUAAAGCCCAGGUUCUCCUUUAGAGUUAGUAAAUGUGUCAGAGGUGAGAUGGUAGCGCCUCUUCUCCUUUAAUGGAACGUGAUUAAAACCGUGGGGCUUCAUUUCCAUACCACUUGGAAAGCAAAUAAUGACAUAGAGAACAACAUCCGUAAGGUGCUGCGUGCUCCAUUCUUAGCACUGCGUUUCCUACCAGCUCCAGCUGCUGUUAGCAGGAUCAAGAUCUGGGUGACUUCUGUUUCCCCAGAAGGGAAAUGCUUCUGCUGCCAGUGGAGAGCAUCAGCCUGUGGCAGCAUGAGCACAGUGCCUGGCAGGCUGAGAAUGGUCUGCUUGAAGUAAAAGCAGAACUGCGUGAGAUUUUUGGACAUCAAUGAGAUAAUGACAAUUACAGCCAGGAAUUACACAGCAUUUGUUUCUUUUGUCACAGGGAUGACUCCAUUGUUUGCCCCGAAAACUGUUUUCAGGUUAUUAGAAUCUGUGUAACUUCGAGCAUGUUGCUUUUUGAGUUUAUUUCGUUGACUGAAAUGAUAAUUUGCAUCAGUUCUCGUGUGUGGGAAUCACUGCUUCAUUGCAUAAUAAAACUGUUUCCUUAAACAUUCUGCCUAAGGACUGUGCAGCGUUAUGGGUUGUUACAGCUGAAAUAAGGAGCGCUGCUUCUGGUUUAAAAAGACUCGAGAUGUGAUGAAGUGAACGCAUCUUUCCUUGCAGCUGGUGAGACAAAGGCUGCUGCUUUGUGUUCCCGGUUGGCUGAAACCACAGAUGAAACUGGAUUUGUGAUUGGAUCGGUAUUUCAGGUUAUUCCUGAUUCAGAUUUACUUGGACCUAGCAGUAACUCCUUAUUUUCUUUUGCUAGUGAAAUAUUAGGCACUUAAGACUAAUGCAUGUUACUAAUAUUAGGGCAUUCGAGACCUUUCUUCCAUGUCAGAUAAGCAGAUCCUUGGUUUGUCUUUCCAAAGCCCAGGUGUUUAAUUUGGCUGUUGUAUUGCCGCAGUGCCACCUCAGUGGGCUGAUUCAUUCAUGUUUCGGUUCCUUCCCAGUGCUCUUCCACAGAAGCAGUGGAAUUGGGGGUCGCUGUCUCAGGGCUGGGAAGCAGAGAACGCAGUCUGAACGCGCCCUGAGAGGCCCCAGUGUGUGCAGGUCUGUGUUCCCGGCCCCACAGACCCCUGGUGUAAUUCCCAGCUGAUGGGAUACCACCUGGUAAUGGCAACUGCUCCUGCGUGGUUCUGCUAGCCGUAAUAAGGUGCACAUUGUAUACGAUAAAAACAGCUCAGCUUUAUUACCUGGCUUGCAUGCCUGGUAAUGAAUAGAAGGAAGGCUCUCUCCCUCACGAACAGCAAAAUUUAAUAUAGUCUCUUCCUGGAGUUGCACCGGUGGGACUAAAAGUUUAUCUCAGCAUUCCAAGGGCAAUAAAAAUCUAAAUUUAAACUCGGAAUGUCUUACUGGGGCAAGAGUGCCCAGAGGCUGUGUACUCUUCCAACUUUGUUUAGGUCAUAACUGCUUAUGUAAAGUUAGUUUAUACCAGCUAGUUAGGUUUUAUGUCUUUGAGCACUGUCUUCAUUACGAAGGAGAGACGUAUCAAGUGCAGGGGGUGCAUAUGAAAGUUCAGCUCUGCUUUACUAUUGCAUUUAAUUUAGUUUCUUACUGCUUAGUGCUUGGCUACGUGAAGAAAUCCCUAGCUCUUAACCUUCACGUUACAGAUGCCUUUAAAGUCUAUUCUGAUUCAUUCCUGUAGUUAGACACCUCGGAUAUUUGGAGUUUAUGGUUAAUAUGAAGGAGCAGUGGAAAAAGAUACCUGGUGAAGGCUGCCAUGAGCAGGGAAUCUCCUGUUAGCUGUGGUUGCAGGUUGGAAAGACUGACUACAGAAAGUAAGCAGAUGCCAGCUAGUGGGCUCUCGGAGCUUCACUGGCUCAGCGGUGGCUUGUUCUCUUGGCCCAUAGUUUUAAAGGUGGGAAGCAGAGAGACUCAAAUGCUGUUUCUGCAGCAUGAAUACGAGCAAGACAGGAUGAGGAAAUCAACUGGAGGUUUUCCUGAGGUCGUAUCUGGUAACCAGGGCAUUCAACAAGCGCUGUGUGAGAUUGUGAGUCACUGCUGCCGAUGUUCUAAGAUCCUCAUGAGCUGUUUUCAGUUUGGAAAGUGAGAGCAUAUUGGCGUUAGCCACCACAAAGAGGAGAUGGAUGUGUGGAGGGGGCAGUUCUGGUGACAGAACUUGAGAGGAAGGAGCAUUCUCACUUAGUGCUGCUUAGCAGCCAUUUCCAUCUCUGCACGUGCUUCCACAGAGCAGGCAGGGAGGAAGUGAAGAGAGCAGGUUUAAAGUUCUCAUGGUUUCUAGGUGACUGCAGUCAAUAAAGGGUGUUCAUGUACCUCAUAGAAUCAUAAUCAUCAAGUCCAACCGCAACCUAACCAUAGUACCCUAACUCUGACAACCCUCUGCUAAAUCAUAUCUCUGAGCACCACAUCCAAACGGCUCUUAAACACAUCCAGGGAUGGUGACUCAACCACCUCCCUGGGGAGCCUAUUCCGGUGCUUAACCACCCUUUCUGUAAAGAAGUGUUUCCUAACGUCCAACCUAAACUUACCUUGGUGCAACUUCAGCAGGUCUGUUUGCUCUGCUCAUUCUUUGAGGUAGUUGUGCUACAGAGAGCAUGCUCCGUAUCUUUUAGAUACUUGAUGUGAUGACAGGUAAGGAAUUAAGUGAAUCAGACUGAAUUUACAUAGGUAUACCUCUUGUUCUUCAGUAAAGGUGAGAAAAUAAUGUUUUUCUGUGUUGGAAAACUGAUGUGCGUGUGAUCUCCAAAACUGGCAGUCCUUGGAACUGUGCAUUGGUGAAAAUAAGAGAAAAUAGUUGAAGAUCAAUCCUUGCUUUUUAUGGAUAUCAGGACAUAUUUCCAAAUCACCUUAUAGAAAUCACCUGAAAAUGUUCUGACUUCUUAUUUCUUCUGUCCUCACAGCCACUCCCAUUUUUCCAUCAGCCGCUGCUUUAUGUAUAUUUGUCAGUUCUCUCUGCCUUCCCCGGUCUGCUUGGAUUUCCUUUCAUCUCUUGAUAUCUGCUUCACUACAACUACUGCACCCUUCUAAUUUCCAGCGCUUCUGGUGUUUGCUGACAUUCAGCCAUUAGCACUGCUAGUUCUUCUUCAGUCUUGUAAUAGCAUUAAAAUGCUUUUACAGCCCUUUGUUUGUGCACUGAAAUCCCCACUGGUCGGAUUUCUUUUGGUGGGCCGAUAUGUGGGAUUUCCUCUGAGGUCUGUUGGUGCCCAGGCUUCCAACCAACAGAGCCACAGCUGACUCAGCGUGCUUAGAAAUUGCCACGUGCUCCAUCUUCUCCUUGGGUCUCCUGCUCAGCACCUCCAUUCACACACACUGUACUCAGAGUUCUGCUGUUAAUUUUAUUACAACAUUUUCCCAACAUUGCUCAUCUUCACCGUUCUGCCGGUGCUGCUUUCGGCAAUGAGCAAACAUUGGUUAUUCAUACGUUCCAUUUUGCAAGUCAACUUAUUACCCAGUAGACCUGUUAUGGUCACUAUGGCCACGUGAGAGCCUUCCAAACAAAAUGUUGCUGUGUUCGAUUGGACAAAUAUCUAGAAGUUUCUGAUCCUUCCCAAAUAUAUUUAGAUUUCUAUGACAAAAAAGAUUUUUGUUUCUCUCAUUACAUGCAUUAUUUUUACUAACCCUAAUUCUGUAAGAGCAAUACAAACUACGUAUUUUUUUACUAAAACGGAACAUGAGUUACAGCCUUUGAGCUGCUCUGGAAUAUAGGUGCUUCCUUUAAACUCUCAAAUGAUGUUACUUCUGGGAGCAAGAACCUUAUUUCUUCUCUGUGACACUUUGUUGUUCAGCUGCCUUGAAAGAGCCGUUUAAGGCGCUGAUUGUUUCUGAUGGUGAUAGCAGUUGCUGCGGAGAAAUACAUGGCUGUGGUUUGAAGAUGAAUAUAUGGCAUAAAUUAUAGCACGAGUAACUUUCCUGUGAUGUGUUAGGCUUCUCCCAUUUGUUUCACAAAGGCACAUAAACAAUUCUAUACUGCUAUUUUAAGUUGGCAUUACAACCGAGUACUCAUCUUUUCUUACUUGCAUGGCUUGCAAUUACAUUUUGAAUUUCUUCAUAAAUAUGAUGUAGUCUUUAUACUGAGUGUUCUUCUCCAUCACUUCAGUGAUUUAUUGUUACUCACGGGACAGUUGUGCUAUAGCAGCUCCUUAUGUUUGCGAACUUACUACAAAAGUGCAAGCAUUUAGAAUUGUGCAGAUGUAGCUGUGUGCCCAAGGCUGCCUGCUUAAACAUCCUGCUGACCACAUGCAUGUUUUGCAUGAUUUGAUCCUACCCAUUGACUGUAUGCAGACGUGGUGCAGUGUAGGAGGCUACAAACAUGGACCUCAGAAAAGGUAUAGAGAAAACAAAGUUAAUUAUUGCUUGCCAUUGAACACCGUAGAAGUACCAGCAGAGGAAAAAUAAUCGGCUUCAAUAUGUUUAUCCUUAAAAAAGAAAAAUAGUCUUAUAAUGAUUAACUUUUGACAUGUAAGUCCUUUGUAGGUCAUUAGUGGUGUAGCUGUGCAUAUAUGUGUCUGCUUCAGAAAACAGUUUGGUCCAUAAUCUCAUAAUGUUGAAUUCUACCUGGCAGUUUUAUUCGAGCUUAAUUUCUUUUUCUUCUAAUGCUGUUAGCUGGAGAGUUAUGAGACAGGCAUCAGCUGAAAGCACCAGGGAAGGACAGGUAUUGGCAGUGGCAUAAAAGCAGAAGGGGAGGAAAAAGAAUAGCUAUUGUAGCAUUUAUCAGUAUUCUGCUAAUAGUCUGCUCAGACACAACUCUGGAAUAAAACAGACGUUCAUACUGCAAUUUCUUUCAAAGGUUGGAGCUAUUCAUCUGCAGCGUUACAAGACAAAAGUCUAAACCUUCCAGACAUUAUAGUAUAGCUGUUCUAUUGAAUUGUGUUAAGAAGGAGAAACCUUAGAAGCUGUUCCCAUAAGUGUAAAUAUUCUACAUUGCCUUUGGAGGGCAUGUGAAUGUGGGCAACUGACUUUCCUAGAAUGCACUUCUUCAGGUAGUUGAUGCCUUUACACGUGAAAAGAAAACGAUCUGUAGCCCAGUAUUGGAGGCAAGUAAGGGAGAGAGAGGCAAGAGGCUUUUCAUGUUGGCCUCGAUUGACCAUCCAGUGAAGUGUAAGAAGGGCUCUUGUUGGUUUCUGUAGGUUCUUUGUCGUCAUUUCAGCAAAGGAGCACUGUGUGCAGCCAGGUGGAGAGCGAGGGAUCCAAGUGCCAUGUUCCCUAAUGGGGGGAUGGCUCCAGGCCUUGCUGCAUGGAGAGCUGUACUGGCAAACCUGUGAACUCCAACUUAAGGGGGGGGAAAUGGAAAGCAACAAAAAAGUGGAGUACCCAGCUGCAUGGAAAUAGGAGGAAUGUCUGCUGCUUCAAACAAAUUUCCAGCCUUCUGGAGGUUAUUCUCAGCUGAAGUCAAUGGAAAGGAGUAAGUAGGCUUGUUUUGUGUCAGAUAAACAGGUACGAGAAGGCCUGAGAAAUGAACUUAGCACUCCAUUUUGGUGAAAAUUUCUGGCAAGUAAAAUGUGUAGAUGAAAUGAGAUUUGUUUCCUCCCAGCCAUUUGUAAGAGAUUUUGCCACGUUCCUUUUUCACCCAGUUUUAUGGAUGACAUUGAGGUGUGGUUUCCACUGUCUUGAAGUCUGAAGAGCAAAUUUUUCUCUCUUUGAAAGCUGCUGCAAAAGGAGAAACUCUUCUAAUUAUGAACAAAGACUGUAACAUUUAUCAUUAAAAAGCUAAAACAGAGACUCAUUUACAAGAGAAUAAGCUUUGUCAAGUGCACUUUUGUAUUGGAAUAUUCUGAAAAAAAUCUCUCGCUGAAGAUUUUUAAAGACAGAAGCAUAGGAAGAUAAUUUCAUUCUUUGACAUGUUUUACCUUUGCAAAGUUACUGGGCUGCUGACAGGUACAACAAGACGUGCUACGCUUACAUGCUAUUAGUGCAGUAGGCUUUGAAAAAUGUCUAAUGCAUUGGCAUAUCUGACAAUUUAGGGUAUUAGUUAACAGUGAGACUCUGUAAAUAGAGUGAAUUUUAGCUGCAACUGCUGACUUGAGCGUUCAGUCAACAUCUGCAAUACAGGGCUGAACUAUAUGCAACAAAUAAUGCCAUUUUAUGCUGUGGAGAUGGAAGCUGGCAUUAUAUGCCGUGUAUGGCUCAGUCUGAGAGUGGUGGUAAUUGCAAUAUAUUGAAGUUUUGCAUUGUAAUAAAAAUAGAGACCAUUAGUGGAUACCAUUUAUGUCAUUAGUAUUUAGUGGCUGUGUGUUGCAGCUUUUUUAGUGCUCAUAAAACUGUCUCUGCUUGCAGAUAUGUGACAGCACUGAUAUAAAUUUAAAUGUUUGGAAAUCCAUAAGACAUAAAAUAUAGAUAGUAAAUAGGGGCAUAACACUAUAGACAAAAACUUAAUGAUUUGGCACACAAAUGUUUAUAUAUUUGCAUGUCUAAUGCAGCGAUUAGCAUAAUGGUGAUCACAUUUGUACCAUGGAAGACCUUGAUUAGCAGACAACAACAACAAAUAAGGUAAAACUUAAGCACGUUGUACAAAAGCAGUAGAGAAUUCGUUCAGGUUGCAAAUCAGAGCUUUAAUGUUGGAAGGUGCAUCCUCUACAUAUGUUUGGUGGGACACUGGUUUUCCUUCUUACAGGCUUUAUUAGUAACGACACCUGUUCCACUAGCUAGUAGUAUUACAGUUGUUCCUAAGAACUGAUUAUAAAAAAUAUAAAAUGUGAAAGGGAAUGAAGCAGUUAAGGAACACUGGGAUUGAGGUUGGAUGGUGCUUCUUUAAGAACAACGGAGCCAGCCAGCAUGGGGAAGAUUAACCAAUGUUCAGACCAGAGCACCAACACCUUGUCAGGAACUUGGCUGGCAGCAGAGCUGGCUGAGGAAAGACAUCUUUGUAGUGUGGGGAUGGGACGAGUCCAGGAACACGGCCCGGGGGGUUGCACUGAGUGCUGUAUGCUAGCCAAACGUUACAGGCUGUAUUGUUUGGAAUUCCCAGUGUAAGAUUUUCAUUUAAGGAAUCCAAGAAAUUCAGAAGCCAGAUCUCCGUGCAGAAGUUCUCUGGGAAAGCCAUCCUCUCUCCUUGAUUUCAGGAGUGCCCGUUUUCAGUUGUUCUCAGUUGUUUGAGAGCUUCCCACCAUGGCUGAUUUGCCUCUAAAAGAGGAGUGCUUUGCUGUCUGUUUUUUCUCUCUGAAAGUGAUGGAUUUGAAGCAAGAGGUUCUGAGACUUUUCUUCUGUACACUCUGUCCAUGCCGUCUUCAGCUCUGACCUUUACAUCCCAGAAACUCACAGGAGGUUGGUCACAGAACUCUUGGGGGAUUUGGAACUCAAAUCGUGCCACACUGAAGAGAGAACACAGAACAAUAAAAAGAUCUUCAGUCAUUUGGAGCGAAGGACAGGAAGCGCCGUUAGAAAAAGCAUCUUUCCAAUUGCAUUUCCUUCCAGUGGAAGGUUUUAUCAACGUUUUUAGUUUGAUGUGUGUAUUAAUGCUUAACACUGAGCAUUAAGCAACAUUAGGUUCUGCUUCAGAAGAAAAAAAAACCUUUGGAACAUGUGAAUAUUUCCACUAAACAAUAAGAAGUGAGCAGGGUGGGGAAGAUGAUGGUAUAAAUGGUGGGUAUGAACAUGUGCAGAAAGCUUGGGGCUCACGUUAAUACAUGUUAAGGUUAGACAAUUGGGUGCUUUUCAGGAGCUCAAGUAGUAAGCAGAAGUGAGACAUAAGCCUUCUAUACAGUGAAUGUAAGUAUUUCAGUGUCUCUUACGGUCUAAUUAUGGGAAGUGUUACAGUGGAAGUCUUAUUGCUCCUUUACGAAAUAUGUUUUUGUCUGUUUAUCUGUCAAAACAGACUGAAGCGUAAAUCUCUACGACGUUUUCGGCCUUUGAAGCAUUCAGUGCAGCUAUUUAUAUUCACAUAGAUUCUGAAAUCUUUUUGAAACUUUGUGCUUCUGAUUGCAGAAUUCAGUGUCGCUUCUUAGCACGUUGAGUGCUGACGGCUUUGAACACACAGUGACAAUGUGGCUGUGAGCACCGCCCUGCUGAGAGACAUCUCUAAAGGAACAGUGAUUUUUAUGUUGAAGGUUUUGGUUGAUUUUCAGAAUUAGGGGAAACAUUGAAGUGCAUAAAAAAUGUUUAAUUCUCCUGUACACCACUAAAUUGCUUGUUGCUUUAUAUAUCCAGCAGAUACAUGAGAGCAGAGACCACUUUCUGAAGCCAUUCUGUGCAAAAGUUUGUACUAGAACUACUAGGGGAUGGAAAUCAUAAUACAGCUGAAGAGGUGAGUUUUGAAGUAGAGACUUGCGUAUGCCUGACUGGAUCUGUGCCCACUUAUUAAAUGCACAUGUAAAGGUAGCAUAUAUAUUAGAAUGAUUUUAAGAGCAGUCCUUUAAAUGCUAUUGCAUCGUAAGGCAGAAGACCUUUUGGAUUUCUAGGAAAAGGUGGGCGAAUCUGACAGAAUGCCCAACUUCAGGUAACGUGCACUGGAGUAGUUGUACUAACUGUAGUUACCAGAAGGUCCUUCAUGACAUCCCCAUGUAGCAUACUCUGUUAAACAGGACAUGCAGAUGUGAUGUUUUGAGUUGGAAAUGAAUGUUGAAACGGUGGUAAGUAUCUAUUGGACUAUAUAAACAAAUGGUCUAUUCUCACAUAUGUGUUGUCUCUUACUGUAUUUUCUUAGAUCUGUUUUUUAGGUUCACUUUUGCUCUGCUAGGUGAUACUUGCUGUAAAGUUGCUCUCUUGUACUUCCUCAUAUCUUGCGGGUAGACAGCGUAUCAUCCCUGGUUCUUAUGGGACAGUCAGCCUUAUUAGGUUACCCAAAUUGCUACAGGUCACAGCUGAGAUGUAUUGCUGGAAUUUAAUAGGAAAGCUUGCCCAAUACAGACUCAGCUGUUCUUACUGCUUGUUAUUGCUUUCAUGAGAAGCACAGGAGAUUAUUGAAAGAUAUGUUUAUAAAAUAUACAGUGCAGUACAGCUACACACUAGCUUUAUGCCAAAUUAGGUCUUGAACUUGAAUGGAUUCAGGCAUCUACUGCAGUGUAGAUUACAGUUCUCUGUGUGACCUCACACAUGUAGGUUGGCCUCCUCCUGGCUUAUUUAAUCCAUCUGCAAAAUGGAGAAAAACAAGUACUUCAGUGGAAAAACAGGUACGCAUCUGGGCCCAACUGUCCUGGGUAAAUAAAUUACAGAUAAGGCAGUGGCUCAACUGAAGGGAUAAUAAAGAGGAAAUGCAAGUCUCUUUGUCUUCUACACACAUUUAUCAUUAACCUAGUGGUGUGCUGCGUUUAGAUUUAUUGGCUGUGUUUAGUCUCACUGGACUUCCAGCAGAACAGCUGUGGAGUCAUUGGCUUUUCCUGCAAUUCAGUACACCAGGAGCGCUGUGCGGUUUGUCUUAUCGGAGGGAACCGAGGCAGUGGGUUUGAGUGACUUGUGAAUGAAUCAAUAAAGCAUGUUCCCAUAGGUUUCUGAAUUGUCUCAUUCAUUAAGAACGGAAUUGGGCAGUGGAAGAUUGAUUUUUUUUUGUGACAAAUCAGCUAUUUUUUUUUUUCCCAGCAGACCUUCAUUUAGACACUGGAUUUCUGGAAUCACAAAGCUUCAAAAACAUUGUGCAGCUUUUAAACUGCAAUGAGAAUUGUGGUAAAUAGUUUAAAUGUCCCAUUUCAGAACACUUUUGAGAGCUCAGAAUGACAUGAGAGCUAUCUUUAGCAAUCCCAAUCAGCUGACUUAAAUUGGUGGAAAGGUGCUGAGCUGCCACAGCUGAGGGAUGUAUCUCACAGAGCAUCUGAUGCAUGCAAGCAAGAGAUACUUGGACAGAGAAGCAUUCACAAAGAAGUGUUACCCAUUGUCUAAGGGUGUAACUGAGGAUCGUGACUUUGUAUAUCUUAAUGGCUUAUGACAGCUCUGGACAACUGUGAUGUGUGGUAUAAUAUAUUCUGCUUCAAAUGCAGUCAUGCCUCAGAAGCAUCAAAGUAAUUAUUAUAGGUGUGGAACCAGUUUAAUUUUUGGCAGAGUUGUUUUAAAUUUACUUAUCUUGUGCUUGGUAACCACGUGUCUGUGAAACUCUGAAAGAACCUACCUCUACAAACGUGUUUAUAUGAAAAUACUUCACCUGCUUGGCACAUACAGGCUACUUGGGUUUCACUUAAGUGAGUGACGGUAUGCAUUUAGGUUGGGGAAUUCACAGGUGGUGCAAUGUCCAUCCUGGAACCUGUGCUUUAAGUGUGCAUGUGUGAAUUUCCAGUGUUUUGAACCAAUGCUAAUUUCACACACGGGCUGGGGACGGAUAGGGGCAGUGCUGCUUAAGCAGUUCCUAAUUUUUAUUUAUUUAUUUUUUAAGUCCAAUCAAGUAAGAAUUUGGAACUGUCAGACCCUGAAGGAGCCAGGGAAACAGGGAUAAGCCAUAGUGCUGAGCCCAGACAAAAAUCAGCUGAAUCAAAAUCAAGAACAGCUUCAACAGUUAAUCUUCUAAACACUGUGCUUUAUUAAGAACUCAUAAAUUGCCAGACAUUACUUUUUACAUUCUUACUGAUGUAAGAUGUUGGCUAGCAAUAAGUUGCUACAGUAUUCCAAAACAAGCCUAAACCACAUAAGUUAUCAUAAUAUAUAUAUUCUCACCUGCUCUAUAUACUUAUCUUGCUUUACAUGCCCACAGAAGAUAAUAGUAUUAAGCAGUAAUUCUCUUGAGAGGCAGUUACAUUAGUUUUCUAGUAAUGACUAUUUAAGAAUUGAUUCGUGUUACCUAUGUAUAAAGUGUUCGGGAAUCAUUUGUUGCUUGGAGUCAGCCUGAGUCUUGAUUCUGGCCUGUUGUUCUCUCUUGGGGGACAGACAUUCUUCCUAGUUGACUGUAGGAGCAUGCAGAGUUAUCCCCGAAGGAUGCCAAUAAAUGUUACACAUAAAAAGAUAUGUGCAGUAACAGAUGCUGGUGGUACAGUGCCUUAGGUGGGUGGAUUCUAGUUCACUUUUCUGUUACACAGUCAUAAUUUGUGCUACUGCUUUUGUACUGUUGUGUUGCAAGCCUCACUGGUCCAGGACUUAUUGAGAAUGGGUGAUCUUUGUAGGAUACAGAGGUCUAAGGUAACAGAAAUCUGAAUAGUUUUUCAGAGCUUAGCAGGAGGUGGGCUGCCCUGUGUUUUAGGUGGGCAUCUUUCCCUUCAAAGCGGAGCAUCAGUUUUUGCAGGGUGCCUCAUACAGAGCAGGCAGUGAAGCUGCAGCUGCGCGCUCUGUCUCAAAUAGGGCAUUCCUUAGUGGGGAUGAACAGCUGCUGUUUCUGAGGAGCUUUCCUAAGCAGUGUCUUAAUUCUGUCUUUGAUGUCCAGAGAAGAACACUGCUUUUGCCUUAUAGGAUUCUCUGGAGAAAAUAAUAAUCUAAUAGCCAUAAUUAAGGGUCUGUCACACGAGAGACUGAGAGGAGUAAGAGACUGAUCGUUAUUCAUUGCUGUGUUUAUAGAAGAGCUUACGGCUUAUACAGCUCUCACUGGAGAUGAACUGAAAGCUGUCACUCUGGGGACUGUUUUUGCACUACCUAAAGGUGAAUUGCUGGAUGUUGUUUAUUUUGACUUUCGCCAAAUCUGUUGUAAAGAAGGCUCAGAAACCAAAGGUGGUAUUCGUUCUUACUCAAGAAAAACAUCCAUUAAAAUUAGCGUGCAUUUUGUCGAAUGAGGGUGGUGAAACUAGUCCAGAAUGGAUGUGUUUAGAAAAAAAAAAAAAUUAUCAUUUUAAAAGUUGUGUGAUUAAGUGAGAGAAAAUGGAAUAUGUGGUGAGCUCGUUGCUUUAAAAAUAUAGCUGUCCCUCACAGCUACGGGCAUGUUCUUUCCAUGUUAAACUUUUCAUCAUUUCCCUGCGAGAGUGUCUCAGGAAGGAAUGGACUUGGACCAGGUCAGGAGGAGAGCACAGCAGAUAUACCUGGCUCUGGAUUCUGGUGAGUCCUUCAAGGUAAGAAGACAUACUAGAGACCUUCAUGUAUGCAUGCUAUUGCUUGCAUGUUUCUGGGUGGCAGAAAUGCUACAACCUCCGAUGUGUCUAGCUCCCUCAUGGCACCAAGAUAGGGAAUACCAAAGCACUGAGCAGCAGAGAAAAGGUAAAAUCAUUGGCUGGGGGUGGGAGUGACAAACUGAGAAGCAUAACUGGGCUUCUCAAUUGUGCUUUGGAGUGUGAGGUAAUAAUGCUAGUGUGAACUGGUAAUAGUAAUAGAUUUUUCAGGUGCAGAUUAAGAUAUCAAGCCUUUCAGAAAGGUGUAUUUGUCUCAGUAUGUUCGGGGGAUCGAGAUGGAAGUGACUGAGUAAAAACACGAUGUAGGAGGUCAGACCAGAAUGUCUUUAUGGUUCCAUCAGCUCUUAAUGUUUUAAGAAAGUUAAACUGAAACCUUUCUUUGCUGGGGUUUGAGUAGCACAUCUCUGUAGAGCUGUAAAUAUCUCAAGCUCAAGGGGCUUUAAAGUUUUAAAAGAGACUGCAAUGUUUGCGUCAACUCGUGUUUUACAUUAGAGGACAGCUGCCCUUAUAAUCCUUGGUUGUGUAAUGGAGAAGCCAAAUCGUGGACGUGAGCAGUUAAAAAAGGCAUGUGCAGUGGAUGAAAAGGAGAUCCAACGAAUAUUAAAAACCAUCAAGCUGUCACUGAAGGACAGUAACGUCUUUUGGCUUUCUUCCAGAACGUGCAAUCAAAGCCCUUGUGUAAAUCCUACAUAAGUGAGGGUCUGAGGGAGCAGGGAGUAAAUCCUUCCCAAUGAACCUGGACAAAGGUAAGUGUGAUACUGACAACGUGGUCACCUUGUCCAUCUGAAGCUUUUGUUCCAUCCCUGAUGAAAUUUGAACAGAACAGGAAAGUAAGAAAUAAAAACUAGAAAUGAAGAAGAAAAUCCAGAAAAACUUUUUCUCCUGUCCUUUCUCCUCCUCCAUUAAGACUCAUGUGGGAUGUGUGUAAGCUGAGGAAAUGUAAACAGAAGUGGUCCCUGAUGAGUGAUAACCACUACUGCAAUGCUAUAAGGUGCAGUAGGAUUAAGGGCCUUUGCUGCAAUUCCCUGGGAUGAAGUAAUGUCACUUCUUUCUGAAUACAAAUAUUUGAUGAAGUUUGUCCUGUGGAGCAAUAGUUUGUUAGAACAGAAGACCCAAAUGACACUGUUGAACUUUAGGCUAUUUUAAUGUGUUUUUAGGCAGAAGUUUCAAUCAGUAAAAUUGUUUAUUUUAACUUUCUGUAUGGAGAAAUAGAGCGUUUCAAUCCAGUAGAUCAUGUUAAAGAAAAAAAAUUACCCAAACCAAAAUUCUUUUGACAUUUUGUUUGUGGAAACGUGAAGUUGCUUGGGCAUUUGUAGUGUUUUGAGAUUACCUCCUCACCUACACAGAACACUUUGUUACUUCCCAGUUCUGCCUUACAGGUUCAUGGUUUGGCGUGGUCCACAGUUGUCACAAGAAUCAGCUGAAGACCACAGCAAUAUCUUUGUUGUUUACUAUCAUAUUCUAAAUACUAAACAGACAAAUAUUCUCAGAGAGGUUUGACAGCUGACCUGCAGACCGUACACAGCAUUUGCUUGUCUUUAAGCUAUUGGUAUUUCUGUGAAGAUAUAGUUCAUUAAUUAUUAUUUUUACUGAUGUUCAAUUGAUGUCUUAUUAAAUAUAAAUCAUGUUUGGGAAUAAUAAUUUAAUGGGACGAGUCAGAUGAGAAUCCUCCUGAUAGUUUAUAAUGAAGCUUCACGUUAUCGAUAAUUCUAAGCUCAUAAAUUAUUAAGGAUGGAAAAAAAAAUGCAACUGUUCUAAAAUAAGCUAUGAAAAUGUGAAGUGGUGGUGAACAGACACAGCGUGCUGGGACUGCUGCGUGACAACGUGUGUUUGGCACUAAGUCAUGUAAGUCAGAACCACUUCAACGUCUCCUGCUCUUACCAAAACAUUUCAUAUUUAAGCAGGUAUCUUCCCCUUGUAUCCCAUUAUUAUGCUGCACCAUUCUGUUCACAGACAUUUUGCAUUGCCUGGGAAAACUGUUAAUUUAAUACACUGAGCUGACCCCGGAGGCACUGAAACGACAUGGCAGCAGCAGUCUGGAGUGCUGCAGUAUAUCCUGCUGUUAACAGCUGGGGAGACUGUGCACUUUUCUAGACAGUUGUCUGAGAGCUCUUUAGGGACAAGUGAGGAAGCUGGCUGUUUGACCACACUGUCAAGGAGGGUACAUCCUGUCCCUUAGCAUCUUUCCUCUUUUCCAUGGAAGACAGAUUUCCCAGUCGCUCCUCUGAUUUUCUCGAAGAGUUGGCAACAAAACCAUUGGUCUCCUUCCUACAAGAAAGAAAGAAAGGAGUAAAAACCCUCAGGUAAGAAAAGAAGGAAUAUACGGAAGCAGAAAAUUCUGUUUGAAACAGUUCUUUUCUUAGGAGAAAAGAGGUGAUAUAUCAUGGAAUAAGUGGUACUGCCUGGUGGAAAAACCCUUUCAAAAUGUCUUUGUUUUUCUUUACCAACGUACACUUAUUUUUACUUAAUAUUUAACUUAAAAGCUCUGGUUUGGGUUUUUUGUUUUGUUUUAUUGGAUCUCCAGCAUCCAGUGAAGUACUUCAGAGAUCCAAAACAACCAUUCCUUGAGUAACAUCAAAGCUAUCCCAGCCUGUAAAGACGGACCAAAGUCCAGGGAAGUAUUCGAUAUCUCUAUUUUCUACUCAGUCAGAAUUGUAGAAAUUCAGCAUUUCUUAAAAUGCUGCUGUUAAUUUAAGGAAGUCACACAGCAGGUCAGUGCAUGUGAAGAAGAUUAAUAGUGAAAAUUAACCUCCCAGUAUUUCUGUUAGUGGAAGUCAGGGAUGCACAGAAUUCUGAAAAUAUGGCCUCCCUGCCAUAGUGGCACACAGAAGUAGUGGUGACACAAGCAUUCAGAUAUGGAUUUUGAAAAAAUAAAAGUUCAAUUAAUUUUUUUAGCACAUGAACAGGGAGGUGGCUUUGUCAAUGGCUUACAUCUUCACCGAAAACUCUAUUCCAGGGAUUUGAUGAAUACUGGAUGGCUGAAGGAUUGCAAGCUAGAAAUUGGGCUCAAUAUAAUGUUCAGGGAAAAAAAAACACACAAAAACCAACAAAAAAUAUGCUGCUUUUCUGAUGAAAGGCCUUGGUUGCUAGGAAGAGUGUAUUCAAGUGUUUGCUUAUGUUUUGUUGGGAUUCUCAUCAGUGUGGCGUAAAUGGCUAACACUCUGCCCUUUAAAUAAUGUUUUCUUAAGUAGUGAAACUAUAACUCAAUGAAGAAAUUGCACUAAUCACCUUUUCUCAAAAGCUGAGAAUUAUGACCUCUCUGUAAUUAAAAUGGUAUCUUUCAAACAUUAAUCUACGGGCUAAUGCAUUUUUAAUAUAUUUUCAUAGUUACAGAUUUUUGAAAUCAACUUGAUUUUGAAAAGAGAAAAUGCUGAUCCCACACAUGCAGAAAGUGUAUCGACCCCAUUGGACCCAUUCUUUUUUUUUUUAUCCCUGAUGUCCAGUGCGGUCUGGUGGAAGUGUUGGCAGUUCCUGUCCAAACAGUUGCUGAUGCUUUUCAGGGAGGGGGAUAUAUUAAGCAAUUGCUUGAGUCAGGAAAUGCCUGUUCGUCCCUCAUCUGCCUCCCACAGGUAGGACUUGGAAGAAGGCCCUGGCCUGCCCUCAUCUCGACACUGUUUGCACACUGCUCAGCUUACUCAUGACCAUUCUGUCAGCACGAUACUGAGGUGAAGUAGAGAAGAACACAGUAUUUGGUAAUCAAAACGAAGGGAGAAACAAAAGAAGAGGCCAGCAAUGCAAGGCAGUUAUUAAGAGGUGUCUUUGCCACUCUUCAACAUCAGCCUGUUGUGAAUCAUGCAGAGAAGGAACAGAAUCCACCACAGCCUGAAUUGACUAAGAUAGGAAAGAACAAGAUGGAUAAUACAGAAAGUUUUGGAGAAGAAGCAUUCCUCCUCUGAAAGGGCAGCAGGCAGGAAGUUCCUAAAUGGAAAAGGAAAAUAUUGUUCUACUUGAACAUCACCCUGGCACUGUCAGAUGAUUCACAGGCCCUGGAGAACACAGACAUUACCAGCUCAGCACAUCUAUAUACCAAUCACCAUUUGUCAUAUGCGAGUACUUCCCACAGUCCUAAAAAAGGAUUGGUUUUGUGUAUUAUUUGCUGGAAAUGUAACAAACUUCAUACUGAACAGCAAAAUAAAAACAGUACUUGAUUGUUU
Molecule: long non-coding RNA, 18930 nt
Organism: Gallus gallus (chicken)
Lineage: Eukaryota; Metazoa; Chordata; Aves; Galliformes; Phasianidae
Exons: 6
Source: RefSeq, a predicted model, not a curated record